Molecule: ribosomal RNA, 468 nt
Filed under: uncultured bacterium
Lineage: Bacteria
Description: partial 16S ribosomal RNA
Rfam family: Bacterial small subunit ribosomal RNA
Source: RNAcentral
GACGAACGCUGGCGGCGUGCUUAACACAUGCAAGUCGAACGGAAAGGCCCUGCUUUUGUGGGGUGCUCGAGUGGCGAACGGGUGAGUAACACGUGAGUAACCUGCACUUGUCUUUGGGAUAACUUCAGGAAACUGGGGCUAAUACCGGAUAGGAGAUCCUGCAGCACGGGGGGGGUUAGAGAGUUUCGGCGGUUGGGGAUGGACUCGCGGCUUAUCAGCUUGCUGGUGGGGUAGUGGCUUACCAAGGCUUUGACGGGUAGCCGGCCUGAGAGGGUGACCGGCCACAUUGGGACUGAGGUACGGCCCAGACUCCUACGGGAGGCAGCAGUGGGGAAUAUUGCACAAUGGGCGGAAGCCUGAUGCAGCAACGCCGCGUGCGGGAUGACGGCCUUCGGGUUGUAAACCGCUUUCGCCUGUGACGAAGCGUGAGUGACGGUAAUGGGUAAAGAAGCACCGGCUAACUACGUG